UACGUAGGGUGCAAGCGUUAAUCGGAAUUACUGGGCGUAAAGCGUGCGCAGGCGGUUCUAUAAGACAGAUGUGAAAUCCCCGGGCUCAACCUGGGAACUGCAUUUGUGACUGUAGAGCUGGAGUACGGCAGAGGGGGAUGGAAUUCCGCGUGUAGCAGUGAAAUGCGUAGAUAUGCGGAGGAACACCGAUGGCGAAGGCAAUCCCCCGGGCCUGUACUGACGCUCAUGCACGAAAGCGUGGGGAGCAAACAGG
RNAcentral lists this ribosomal RNA (253 nucleotides) under uncultured bacterium. Its description in RNAcentral is "partial 16S ribosomal RNA". It matches the Rfam family "Bacterial small subunit ribosomal RNA", at positions 524 to 776 of the family's 1533-position model. The record is from RNAcentral.